AGUGAACGCUGGCGGUAGGCCUAACACAUGCAAGUCGAACGGCAGCACAGUAAGAGCUUGCUCUUACGGGUGGCGAGUGGCGGACGGGUGAGGAAUACAUCGGAAUCUACUCUUUCGUGGGGGAUAACGUAGGGAAACUUACGCUAAUACCGCAUACGACCUACGGGUGAAAGCAGGGGAUCUUCGGACCUUGCGCGAUUGAAUGAGCCGAUGUCGGAUUAGCUAGUUGGCGGGGUAAAGGCCCACCAAGGCGACGAUCCGUAGCUGGUCUGAGAGGAUGAUCAGCCACACUGGAACUGAGACACGGUCCAGACUCCUACGGGAGGCAGCAGUGGGGAAUAUUGGACAAUGGGCGCAAGCCUGAUCCAGCCAUACCGCGUGGGUGAAGAAAGCCUUCGGGUUGUAAAGCCCUUUUGUUGGGAAAGAAAAGCAGCAGGUUAAUACCCCGCUGUUCUGACGGUACCCAAAGAAUAAGCACCGGCUAACUUCGUG
RNAcentral lists this ribosomal RNA (492 nucleotides) under uncultured bacterium. Its description in RNAcentral is "partial 16S ribosomal RNA". It matches the Rfam family "Bacterial small subunit ribosomal RNA", at positions 29 to 507 of the family's 1533-position model. The record is from RNAcentral.